GGAAUGUCGGCAGAGGGAAGAAAAUGAGGAGGUAUGCCUCAAUUAUCAGAGUCAGCUGUUACUGAACUGGUAAUUGAAACAUCCUUGCCAUUUGGUAGAACCCAGUGUGAGUACUACUCGCUGAGAAGGCAGAACUAUAAUCGUCAAACCUGCAUUUCUUCUGGUGUACCGAACGACAGAGUUAAAACCCUGUUUGAACUAGAUUUGUAUCUUCUCAAGUUCUCCAUGUGAGGUGGAUUGGGUUCCCUGGAUAACACAGAUGUUCGAGAAGGAAGAUCCUAAUUCCCUCCAGCUUGGCAGCCAUGACUCUCUAGCCUUGCAGGUAGCUGAGCUCGAACUCCACAAUGAAAAACAACUCCUGCAAGAUGAAGAACUGGCUUGGAGGCUUCAAGGUGAGGAGGAGUCUCACAUGGGACUCCACACUACGGGAAGCUUCCGAUAUUUUUGGCAGAGAAUAAGACGGAAUCGGGAGCGUAGUGACGACGGAAUCGGGAGCGUAGUGACGAUUAUCGAGCUGUACAGGUGGCUCAGGAUGAGUUCAAAUGAAUGGUUUCCUCUGCAGUCGAUUGCCAGAUAUUUGCAAGGUCAAGAGUUGAAGUCCCAUGAAAGACAGAUCCAAGAAACAGACCGUGGGACUGAAGAGAGCAUCGAAAAUAGCUUUUUCUCUGAGAUGAGGCAAAGCAAAAACAGAGAGGUUGGUUAA
Molecule: long non-coding RNA, 703 nt
Filed under: Ornithorhynchus anatinus (platypus)
Lineage: Eukaryota; Metazoa; Chordata; Mammalia; Monotremata; Ornithorhynchidae
Description: lncRNA (ENSOANG00000048666.1)
Source: RNAcentral